UACACAUGCAGUCGACGAUGAAGCCGGAGCUUGCUCUGGUGGAUUAGUGGCGAACGGGUGAGUAACACGUGAGCAACCUGCCCCUGACUCUGGGAUAAGCGCUGGAAACGGUGUCUAAUACUGGAUAUGUCCCGUCACCGCAUGGUGUGCGGGUGGAAAGAUUUUUCGGUUGGGGAUGGGCUCGCGGCCUAUCAGCUUGUUGGUGAGGUAAUGGCUCACCAAGGCGUCGACGGGUAGCCGGCCUGAGAGGGUGACCGGCCACACUGGGACUGAGACACGGCCCAGACUCCUACGGGAGGCAGCAGUGGGGAAUAUUGCACAAUGGGCGGAAGCCUGAUGCAGCAACGCCGCGUGAGGGAUGACGGCCUUCGGGUUGUAAACCUCUUUUAGCAGGGAAGAAGCGAGAGUGACGGUACCUGCAGAAAAAGCACCGGCUAACUACGUGCCAGCAGCCGCGGUAAUACGUAGGGUGCAAGCGUUAUCCGGAAUUAUUGGGCGUAAAGAGCUCGUAGGCGGUCUGUCGCGUCUGCUGUGAAAUCC
Molecule: ribosomal RNA, 540 nt
Filed under: bacterium xpnta250lbim13onp9.8
Lineage: Bacteria
Description: bacterial SSU rRNA
Rfam family: Bacterial small subunit ribosomal RNA
Source: RNAcentral